Long non-coding RNA from Pocillopora damicornis (cauliflower coral), 881 nucleotides. The record is from RefSeq and is a predicted model, not a curated record. Lineage: Eukaryota; Metazoa; Cnidaria; Anthozoa; Scleractinia; Pocilloporidae.
UUUUUUUUUUCUAGAGGGGAACGAAAUUAAGUGACUUUGUUUCAUAAGUCCAGAGGGUGAAAAACAACAGCAACAGAAGUAAACAAAGAAGUGUUUGACCAAAUUAGAAUCAGAAACUAACCCAUAUCCCCGAGCAUGUACCAACAACCAUAACCGGCUUUGGAAACUCAACACUGACAGCACCCUCUGGCCUAAAGAUGACACCAGCAAAUGCCUCUUCCUGACUGAACCUGGAAAUAAUGAUCUUUCCUCCGGCUUUUAAGUGUUGCCUUGCAAUUCCAACGAUCUUAACAAGAAGUUCAAUUUCGAGAACCCGACACGACAGAUGCCGAGUGAGCCUACGUUGCACACGUUCUUUAAACUCAAGGCGAAGAAUGACGGGUUCACCUCUAGUGAUUGGCAAGGGCAGAAUCUGUGCUUGGCCCACAGACCGAUUGGAGUCCACGACCAUUCGCCUGUGGUCGUCCUAGUCCACCAAAUGUGUACUGGUGUAUCAGUGAGGUCGUUCCAAUCUCUGAGUACGGAUAGUUUAAGUUUGAGCCAGUUUCAGAGUAAACCAAAGUUGUGCAACGGAUCAUGCAAUCGAAGAAAUCUGAACGAUAUGAUGCGAAAGGGAAUAAAAAUCAUUUUUGUGACUAGAAAGCUGCAUGACAGCUUCAUAAAAAUAAAGAUUAUGCGCCGGUGAAUAGCUUGUUCAUUUUUCUGUGUGGCAGAAUGCAAAUAGCUCUUAACAGCAAUUCUAGUCACUCUCAAGAAGACGUGCACUGAUGUAACAAACAAACUUUUACCAUCCAGUGCUUCUUUGGUUGCCUAUCGUUGAUUCAUUAAGAAGUGCCAUAUUUCCAAAUCAUGCAUAAAUAAAGGAUCUAUAUUUCCAGUAA